Molecule: ribosomal RNA, 481 nt
Filed under: uncultured bacterium
Lineage: Bacteria
Description: bacterial SSU rRNA
Rfam family: Bacterial small subunit ribosomal RNA
Source: RNAcentral
AAAUGAAUUGACGGGGACCCGCACAAGCGGAGGAGCAUGUGGUUUAAUUCGACGGUAACCGAGUAACCUCACCCAGGUUUGAAAUGUACCUGCAAGCCCUUGGAAACAGGGGCCGCCUUCGAGGGUGGUACACAGGUGCUGCAUGGUCGUCGUCAGCUCGUGUCGUGAGAUGUACCGUUAAGUCGGGUAACGAGCGCAACCCCUAUCCCGUGUUAAUUUUUCACGGGAGACCGCCUCGGAUAACGGGGAGGAAGGUAGGGAUGACGCCAGAUCAGCAUGGCUCUUACACCUGGGGCCACACACGUGCUACAAUGGUUGAGACAAUGGGUCGCCAAAUCGUAAGAUGGAGCUAAUCCCACCAAACUCAAUCUCAGUUCGGAUUGAGGGCUGCAACUCGCCCUCAUGAAGCUGGAUUCGCUAGUAAACGCACAUCAUCUAAGGUGCGUUGAAUACGUUCUCGGGUCUUGUACACACCGCCCGU